Molecule: ribosomal RNA, 460 nt
Filed under: uncultured bacterium
Lineage: Bacteria
Description: bacterial SSU rRNA
Rfam family: Bacterial small subunit ribosomal RNA
Source: RNAcentral
CGCUGGCGGCGCGCCUAACACAUGCAAGUCGAACGGAGCUUAGAGAGCUUGCUUUUUAAGCUUAGUGGCGAACGGGUGAGUAACGCGUGAGUAACCUGCCCUAGAGUGGGGGACAACAGUUGGAAACGACUGCUAAUACCGCAUAAGCCCACGGUACCGCAUGGUGCUGAGGGAAAAGGAUUUAUUCGCUUUAGGAUGGACUCGCGUCCAAUUAGCUAGUUGGUGAGGUAACGGCCCACCAAGGCGACGAUUGGUAGCCGGACUGAGAGGUUGAACGGCCACAUUGGGACUGAGACACGGCCCAGACUCCUACGGGAGGCAGCAGUGGGGGAUAUUGCACAAUGGGGGAAACCCUGAUGCAGCGACGCCGCGUGGAGGAAGAAGGUUUUCGGAUUGUAAACUCCUGUCGUUAGGGACGAUAAUGACGGUACCUAACAAGAAAGCACCGGCUAACUACGUG